AGAGUUUGAUCCUGGCUCAGGAUGAACGCUGGCGGCGUGCCUAAUACAUGCAAGUCGAACGAGGUGCUUUUGUAGCAAUACGAAAGUAUCCUAGUGGCGAACGGGUGAGUAACGCGUUGGUGACCUACCCCAAAGUGUGGGAUAACAGUCCGAAAGGAUUGCUAAUACCGCAUGUGGUUAUCAGAUUUAGAAACUGAUAUCUAAAGGAGCAAUUCGCUUUGGGAGGGACCUGCGUCCCAUCAGCUAGUUGGUGAGGUAACGGCUCACCAAGGCGACGACGGGUAGGGGACCUGAGAGGGUGACCCCCACAAUGGAACUGAAACACGGUCCAUACACCUACGGGUGGCAGCAGUAGGGAAUAUUGCUCAAUGGGCGAAAGCCUGAAGCAGCAACGCCGCGUGUGCGAUGAAGGCCUCGGUCGUAA
This 424-nucleotide ribosomal RNA is filed under the name uncultured bacterium. RNAcentral's name for it is "bacterial SSU rRNA". It matches the Rfam family "Bacterial small subunit ribosomal RNA", at positions 8 to 428 of the family's 1533-position model. The record is from RNAcentral.